CUUUGCCCGUUCUUCCUCCUCUUCCGACUCUUCCUAAUUUCAACUUUUUUUCUCAGUCGGGACAAGGCUCCAAUAACUAUGUGGUAGGUGGAUCUUCACCUGGCCAAGCAAGUCCAGUGACACCCACUACGGUUCAUGUCGCUUCGACCUCCCCGCAACAAUGAUCACUUGAGGUUUGCAUUGUGGAUGGCGUUGACGGUGUGCAUAUAUGCUGCGGUGGAGCUCAUUGCAUGGUUCAUGCUUGG
Triticum aestivum (bread wheat) is the source of this 245-nucleotide long non-coding RNA. RefSeq lists it as uncharacterized. Lineage: Eukaryota; Viridiplantae; Streptophyta; Magnoliopsida; Poales; Poaceae. The transcript is spliced from 3 exons. The record is from RefSeq and is a predicted model, not a curated record.